UACGUAGGGUGCAAGCGUUAUCCGGAAUUAUUGGGCGUAAAGAGCUCGUAGGCGGUCUGUCGCGUCGGCUGUGAAAUCCCGGAGCUCAACUCCGGGCCUGCAGUCGAUACGGGCAGACUGGAGUUCGGCAGGGGAGACUGGAAUUCCUGGUGUAGCGGUGAAAUGCGCAGAUAUCAGGAGGAACACCGGUGGCGAAGGCGGGUCUC
This 206-nucleotide ribosomal RNA is filed under the name uncultured bacterium. Its description in RNAcentral is "partial 16S ribosomal RNA". It matches the Rfam family "Bacterial small subunit ribosomal RNA", at positions 524 to 729 of the family's 1533-position model. The record is from RNAcentral.